CUGAUGUAUUAUAAAUUCUGUUUAUACAAACAAAAACUAUAGAUACAAAUACAAUGAAUGCACUAUAUUUGAAUAAAUAAAUUGUGGCUUUUUUUUAAUACAGGUUUAUGCUAUAUUGUCAAUUAAUAAUAGCUGAGUUGAGAAGGUCUUAAAUUCUGCAUAACUUUCUGUUUAGCAUGCCAACUGGCAAAACAAACACUCCGCUGUAGAACAGUACGCACUUUAGUUCUGGAAUGACGACUGUUUGCAACACAGAAAUCUGCAAAUAUAGACAAUUACGAGUGAGGUCCUUUGAAAAAGUCUUUGUGCUUUAAAAAUUUUUGUUGUGCACGCCAUGUUGUUGUGGUGAUACUACGAACUAAAACUGUUCUAACUUCAACACGAGAAUGGCGACCAUGAGAAGAGCAAAACUCUGGAAAGAAAUGAAUUGAAAACUUAAAUUAUCAGUCUUAUUAGGCAUGAUGUUUGUUAACAAUUAAACUGUCUAUUUAGAAUUUUAUAGUCUUCAUUUAACUCUUCAAUUCCUUUCUGUUGUAUC
This 538-nucleotide long non-coding RNA is filed under the name Mytilus galloprovincialis (Mediterranean mussel). Lineage: Eukaryota; Metazoa; Mollusca; Bivalvia; Mytilida; Mytilidae. The record is from RNAcentral.